RNAcentral lists this ribosomal RNA (231 nucleotides) under Clostridioides difficile. Its description in RNAcentral is "partial 23S ribosomal RNA". It matches the Rfam family "Bacterial large subunit ribosomal RNA", at positions 534 to 764 of the family's 2925-position model. Lineage: Bacteria; Bacillati; Bacillota; Clostridia; Peptostreptococcales; Peptostreptococcaceae. The record is from RNAcentral.
GGGAGUGAAAUAGAACCUGAAACCCUGCACUUACAAGCUGUGGAAGCACAUUUCUUGUGUGACCGCGUACUUUUUGUAGAACGGGCCAACGAGUUACGUUAAGUAGCAAGGUUAAGCACUUAAGGUGCGGAGCCGUAGCGAAAGCGAGUUUUAACUGAGCGUUCAGUUACUGGACGUAGACCCGAAACCGGGCGACCUACCCAUGAGCAGGAUGAAGCGAAAGUAAAAUGU